Molecule: ribosomal RNA, 497 nt
Filed under: uncultured bacterium
Lineage: Bacteria
Description: partial 16S ribosomal RNA
Rfam family: Bacterial small subunit ribosomal RNA
Source: RNAcentral
GAGGAAAGCUGGGGGCGUGCCUAAUACAUGCAAGUCGAGCGAACGGACGAGAAGCUUGCUUCUCUGAUGUUAGCGGCGGACGGGUGAGUAACACGUGGAUAACCUACCUAUAAGACUGGGAUAACUUCGGGAAACCGUAGCUAAUACCGGAUAAUAUUUUGAACCGCAUGGUUCAAAAGUGAAAGACGGUCUUGCUGUCACUUAUAGAUGGAUCCGCGCUGCAUUAGCUAGUUGGUAAGGUAACGGCUUACCAAGGCAACGAUGCAUAGCCGACCUGAGAGGGUGAUCGGCCACACUGGAACUGAGACACGGUCCAGACUCCUACGGGAGGCAGCAGUAGGGAAUCUUCCGCAAUGGGCGAAAGCCUGACGGAGCAACGCCGCGUGAGUGAUGAAGGUCUUCGGAUCGUAAAACUCUGUUAUUAGGGAAGAACAUAUGUGUAAGUAACUGUGCACAUCUUGACGGUACCUAAUCAGAAAGCCACGGCUAACUACGUG